This is a long non-coding RNA of Liolophura sinensis, 5850 nucleotides long. RefSeq lists it as uncharacterized. The transcript has 2 exons. The record is from RefSeq and is a predicted model, not a curated record. Lineage: Eukaryota; Metazoa; Mollusca; Polyplacophora; Chitonida; Chitonidae.
CCUCGCAACAGUUCAUCCGAUCCUUUUCACACACUUUAUUAAUUCGUGAAAACUUUAGUCACUAAUGUCAAUUUGUAGUCAUAUAAUCUAGGACCACGAACUUCGAGUUAGCUUCAAUUGUCCAGGGCACUGCUUGUUUUGGGGUUGAUUCGCUUGAGCUGACUGACAGUUAGCAUACAGUGUUAUGUCCCGGCAUAUACAGCUCUUAUUCUUGACUGAACUGGCGUCACACAAAGGUCAGAUAACCCAGUUUAGCCUGUAUCCACUCACACGAUGAACUCGCCGAAUAUCUGCCCGAUAUUCGCCACCUCAAGCUCCACGUGAUCUAUAUUCAGGCCGCGGUUGGUCUUGCGCAAUACAGAGGGCGUAUUUCAUAACCUGGGUAAAAUGUGCUCCUCAAGGGCCGGCCACACCAGUGUGUCACUGUACAAUUACGAAAAACGCCUCAUCGAUAAAUUUAGACCCAUUUAGUGCGUGUUUCCCCUUGCCAUGGGUUAAGAAACAAUUUGUGUGACACACGAGAGGCAUUGACAAGAACGGUAACUCUUUGAGACGGACGUACUUUUAUGCGCAGAGGGAAUACAGGCUCAAGCCAGGCCACGUAGUCAGUGAGAUGGUUUUAAAUACAACAGCCUGACAUCGCCAGAGUCACAAUCAUCAACGGGGACAGCCGUAUUUGUCGUUGUAGACAAGUUGGAACAAUAGUGAUACACCGUACGAUCAGCCACAGCUAUCAGCUGAAGCGUUGUACAUAACUGCAAGAAGUGUGCUUGGGAAUUCUUCUUCAAAACUACGAUAACAGAUGAAAGAAUCAGUCAUGAUCCGAGCAGCAAAAGGCCAAGAUACUCUUUUUAGGCCUGGAAUUAAGAAAGACACUGUGUACUGGGAAAAGCGGCAGAAAAACAACGAAGCCGCAAGACGAUCGCGCGAAAGGCGUCGGAAUCGAGUGCUAGCGCUGGAAAGUCAUUUGCAGGAGCUAAAGAAAGAAAAUGAAGAUAUGAGAGCAGAGCUAGCUAUCAUCAAACGCCGCUUCGGUUUGCCUGUAAAUGUGCGGAUGAUCGGCCAUUUACCGCCGGAGCAAUUUGCAGAUAAAAUUUCCUGUUCCGGUCCGUCGUCGGUCAUUUCCAGAGUACCAGCCGCAAACCACUCUGUCCGAGAAAUGUUGACAUGUCCCGACACGUUUUUGGUGAAUCGCUUAGCAAACCAGGACAAGAUCUAUUUAGACCCUCGCCAAGAGUCUCACCAGUCUCACGAAUCGAACGUUCCGCUAUGUCUGAAGCGCGAAGUCAGUGACCCUGGACAGAACUCCGUGCCCGCUAAUCUGUCUUACCCACAGAUCUAUAUCAGAAAUUCGGCUUCAGCACAGGUGGACUACAGUUUUCAAGUCAAAAAAGAAAAUAUUGAUCUCUGACCAGACCAUUUUAAGCCAGUUUCACCAAAGUACCAGAGCAGACAGAACAUCUAUGCCAUUUUCAUCUUGAAGGUGAAUACUAGCCUAAUAAACAGAUUUCACUUAAUAUUAUAAAGAACUUUUUCAUUUUGUCUUAGUUUUCAUCUAUCUUUUACCCCACUGUAGAGGAAGAGCUUAUCUUUGAAAAGUAAAAGUUUCAAAUGUGAACGUAUUAAUGCAAAUGUUUCGUCAAAUAUGUCAAAAACAUAGACACUCCAAUUAAACUGACAAGUGUCACAGUCUGCUUUUACUCUCUAUACAAGACUCUUUCAUACUUCUGAGGUUUCCAUAUUUCGGCAAAAAUGUGUCAUCUUCAGUUGACGUGAAUAUUAGAUGACAAAUAAAACUUUGUCUGAAUAUUUAAAUGCCAAUAAUGUCAUUUCAUUCGCAGUUCAUUUGGAGUAUCUAUGAAUUUGUAUUAUGCUAGUAAGCUUAUUGGUGAUUCAAGAGGCGAUUACUCAUGUCAUUGUAGCUCUCCUAAUACUUAACAAUCCUAUUGACAUUCCCUUUCUACCAGUAGUGUUCGAUGAUGAUGAUGAAAAGCUAGUGAUGAUGAUGGUGAUUAUGAUGAUGAUGAUACUAAUGAUGAUGAUGAGGUUUAUGGGUAAGAUGAUCAAAAUGUGGAACAACAAAUACUGAACAAAUUUAGGUCGGAUUUCGAUGAUUAUUUAUUAUGAAAAAUCCAAUGCAAUCGUGCAUGGAUCUCUUACUUAUUUUGGAACAGACCAUGGACAUCUGAAUUGGUGGCAAAAACCCUGAAAGCCUUAACCCCAACAUACGCACCAACAAACGAAUCACAGCCAGGCUAUUAAGGAAAUUUAUAGAGGCAUGAUAAAGCAGUUCUUUAAAUUCCACUUAUUAUAAGUCAGUAAAAGCCAAAACCAACGCCCCAAUAUACAAAAAGCCAAACGCCUAGCGAAGCAGUAGUAAGUAUCAUCCAUAAAGUCAAUGGUAUGAACCGACAUGGGUUUGAUCCCAGGUCUCCUGCCAACCUGUAAAUGAAAUCAUCAGCUUUCGUAACUACCUGGAACUGAACAAACAUCACUCUUCAUCGAGAACAUCGCCAGCACGAGUCGGCUUUGUACAAAACAAUGAUAGAACUCAGAAAUUGAAACAACGCAUGUAGUUAAACUGUUACAGAGGUAGUUUUAUUAUACCAGGUAUCCAAAAUAUAGUCAAAGUGACUACCCAAAUCCUGAGCUGAAACCAGUAGAUAAUGAACAAAAAAGAAAACGGCAAACAGGAUAACGCUAGAUGAUUGACUUCACUCGAUGCCAUACGCGCGGCCGGUAUAUACAUUGUCGUAUUUACAUACUACAAUAACACACGUUUUUUUUAUACACAAAACACUAAGCAUUCCGUGCGUCGUAUGCAACUAUGGAAAUCGCACUGUCCGUAAAGAAUUGUACAAAAUGAACGCAUCUGAAGAAAGCACGGCCAUUUGCCUUCGUAAUAAUGUCGACUCACAUAUCAUGUAGGUACAAUAUUACAACCGUGGAAGGUAAACGACAACGACGGGAAAUGUUUCCAAAAAUUUGUCCCUGAUAAGUGGCCAACAACACUUUGAAACCAUUGAUUUUCUUUUUAUAAAGAACCUUGAUUCAGUGGGGAAAUCAUCGAAGAAAUACUUCUUAGGUCUAAUGCCAGUUUCAUGCGGAUUAAAGCACGUAUGGAAAGACGGAUAAAGGAGCUUUCCAAGGCGAGCAUUAGCUAAGGAAACAAAGCGUGAGGAAUCAUUAUUUCAAAGUGCAGCUAUCCACUAGAAACGAAUUUAAAGCAAUGGCUUCUUUACACGGAUCGCUACUGACAGACAAAAUAUGAAAAUGUUGCUCACUGUGAGCCAGCUAGUUAUCCGGGAAAAAAACUCACCAGUUUUAAAGACACUAAGAUUGGUGUUUCCGGUAUUUAAUUUGAGUCUUCUACAGAAAUAAAAUCUCAAUGUAACAAAAGGGAUCUAUACCAAUAGGUCUUGGCUGAAGCCUCUGAAAUCAAAAGCAGAACAUUUUCUCACAUGAAACCAACUUAAGGUGGUUAAGACAUUUUCAAAUCGAUGGCAAAUCGAAUAAAUACAUGCACACAGUUGGCAAAAUGCACACGCGGUUCAGUGCAUUCAAUGCCUUGAAGAUCAGUAUUCUGCAAACUGCCUCUUUUACAGGAAUGCCGCUAAACAUAGUUUAGAGAUAAUACACAUUUAAAUUGAAAAACACAAUAGUAGACAAGAUUAACUACGGGAUGCUUGGUAACAACCAAGUUUUUAGACACAGACACAAAACCUGUAAAUAUUAGAGAAUCAAAGAAUACAAGGAAGUUAUACGUAUAUGUUCAAUUGUCCCAAUUAUAAACUCUUUAAGAGUCCAAAAACUGAAUUUUAUUCUGUAAUAAUUCUGUACACAUCGAAUAAAGAACGGGAUUCUAUAUUUUAACAUUUUCAAAAGCAACGCAGUCCAUGAAUCAAAGGUCUGCCUGAAUAUACUCCAACUGGGGAGAGUUGUAAGCACUGUAAGACAUACGUCAUUAAAAUAACUUUUCACAUCUUGUAAAUAUAAAUAAAUAAAACACGUUUGAUGAAAUUCAAUGACAAUGAAAACAAUGAAUCUGUAGAUAGCAUGGAGUUGUUUUAUUUGUGCAUUGCCUGUCGACUGUUGCCUCUUUCAAAUUCGAAUGAUUUUUUUUUCAUAUCACCAUUGUUUCCAAAUAGACACAGGGUAUGAAAUAUACUGAGACACUGUCUGUCACAGGAUGACAGUCACUCCUAAUCCGAUGUUCAUCAGAAUUAACCUAGCAGGAAGGUGGGGGGCACAAUGGUUACGAAAAUCUCCGUCCGUUACACAAUGCAUGCAAUCACGCUACAGUUAUGAGAGUAACUCAUUCGAGCCUGAAUAUGAGCCGUUACACUAUCAUGUUGGCUCCUCCAGUUCAUACAGACGUUAGCCUGUUGACAUGGCAUACACGAUGGUCAGCGGCUGAACAAAGUACAGAGCCCAUACUUAUCAAGCUUAAGUCAAAAAUUCAAACACAGGUACAAUUACAAUGUUUUGUUUUUCACUGAUUCUUAACUGCAGAACAAUGUACUAUAACCACAAUUUGGGUUCUUUCCUAUCCUGCGUUUGGCUUUCCAAGCAAAUGCAAUUCAUGAUUAACGUCUUAAAUUGCAUGAUAAAUACAGGCCGGAUAGCAUAAAUUUGACUAUAUACCACAUGUGGGAAAGUAGUUAUGACGUGAAAGAUGGUAACCGCAGUAUUAUGGGGUUACGUCGCCUGAGUACCGGUGUGUACCACCGUGAUUAUGAGGUGAAUCGGAUUACAGUUAAAGCCAAUCUGGGGUCCCACGCAAGCUUCACCCGUCUUUCCAAUAUGUCUAUGGGAAUCCCUUACAGAACAAUUCUUAAAAAAUGUACCAAUAAACCAUGAGGUGUCUGGGACAAUCACUAAAAUCGAGCGUUUAAAUAUGAGGUUAUUACUCUCAAGUGAAGUCCAUGAGGUAAACUAAGUUAACAUUAACUUGUUACGGAAAUAUUUAAUACAGUCUUGGGUAAAACUGGCCGUGUUUAAUAAAUUCUUUAAAAUGAUGCUUUCUUGGGUCUUUUUUUUUAAGAUUGACAUAAAAUAGCACAUGUACAUAACUGCAUGAAAUGCACAGUUUACUGUCAUGUGCGCGUAAAUCUAUUGACAUACCAUACCCGGUUUUCAGAGCUAAGUUGAUUAUAUAAUUAUAUUAAGUCGGGAUUCCAAAUGUGCUAUUUUUAUACUGGCCUCAUUGUUGUAAAUAACAGCACAAAAGUGUAGCAGAAAAUAGGUUUCGCUGGAAAGUCGCAGGAAAAGUUUGUUCUUCGAGAUUCGAUGCAAAAUUUACACAGAUAUUUUCUUUUUUGUGUGUGUGUGUCUUUGUGGGUUGUUUUCUUUUCGGGGGAGGUUGGGGGGGGGAGGGGAUUUUGAAUUCCGGCAUGUCCACUCACAGAUACCAUCGCACGCGAAGAAAGGCCAAAGAUAACUUAUUCCAUAAUAAUACCUAAUACCCACUGACAUUGCAAAACUUUCUUGGACUAAUAAACAGGUCGUUACACAAUCACUACUAACACAGACAACUACACUAAACAACAUGAGACGACUCAACAUCGAGGAAAAACGCGCAGACGCAAUACCAUAAAUCUUUAAUCACCUACAAAAGAUUCAGCCAACCAGCGUCUACUUACACUACUCAAUGCUUUUAACCCAACAGCGAGUUUAUGGCACAUCAGAACAAAUGCAAAAUAAUCUACCUGGCUCAAAUGAAUAGCACUAAAUUUGGGAAUAAAGGAAAAAAAAUCAUAGCACUCUAGAUGCACAAUCAUAGAAGUAACGAAUCUUGUAGGUUAUUCUUCGGGUAACUCCUGAACAUUAAAAAUUAACAAGCUAAAAAAA